CAGGGAGGGAGGGGGGGAUGGCGGAGAUGUGUGCUGAGGACCCAGGGUACAGACGCGACACUGCCACCCGAAGAGACCUCCACAAUCGCGGCGGUCAAGCCGAACGGGAGGAUGAAGAAGAGGAUGGAGCGAACGAGCUGUCACCGGGCAGCGAAGAAGGCCCGCUGUGGACUGAGGAUCCCACCCACCCCCACCCCCAAAAAAAUGCUUCACACAUAAUCAGACUCGUUAUUUAGACUGGAGGAACGCGAUGAUUUGCCUGCUUCCGAUAAGGAAGCCAAAAAGCUCAGUGGGCUUUACCUGGUAAAAUAAAAUAGUUUCGUUUAAUGUG
Molecule: long non-coding RNA, 331 nt
Organism: Petromyzon marinus (sea lamprey)
Lineage: Eukaryota; Metazoa; Chordata; Hyperoartia; Petromyzontiformes; Petromyzontidae
Source: RefSeq, a predicted model, not a curated record